This 207-nucleotide ribosomal RNA is filed under the name uncultured bacterium. Its description in RNAcentral is "partial 16S ribosomal RNA". It matches the Rfam family "Bacterial small subunit ribosomal RNA", at positions 524 to 729 of the family's 1533-position model. The record is from RNAcentral.
UACGUAGGCAGCAAGCGUUGUUCGGAGUUACUGGGCGUAAAGGGUGCGUAGGCGGCUCUAUAAGUAUGGUGUGAAAUCUCCCGGCUUAACUGGGAGGGUGCGCUAUAGACUGUGGGGGCUAGAGUGUGGGAGAGGAAAGUGGAAUUCCUGGUGUAGCGGUGAAAUGCGUAGAUAUCAGGAGGAACACCGGUGGUGUAAACGGCUUUC